RNAcentral lists this ribosomal RNA (421 nucleotides) under uncultured bacterium. RNAcentral describes it as "bacterial SSU rRNA". It matches the Rfam family "Bacterial small subunit ribosomal RNA", at positions 356 to 773 of the family's 1533-position model. The record is from RNAcentral.
GGGGAAUAUUGCGCAAUGGGCGAAAGCCUGACGCAGCCACGCCGCGUGAGCGAUGAAGGCCUUCGGGUCGUAAAGCUCUGUGGGGAGAGAAGAAUAAAGCCUGUGAAGAGCAGGCCUUGACGGUAUCUCCUUAGCAAGCACCGGCUAACUCCGUGCCAGCAGCCGCGGUAAUACGGAGGGUGCAAACGUUGCUCGGAAUCAUUGGGCGUAAAGCGCACGUAGGCUGCCCGACAAGUUGGGUGUGAAAACCCUGGGCUCAACCCAGGAAGUGCAUCCAAAACUGGCGGGCUUGAAUCUCGGAGGGGGUCGGAGAAUUCCCGGUGUAGAGGUGAAAUUCGUAGAUAUCGGGAGGAAUACCAGUGGCGAAGGCGCCGACCUGGACGAAGAUUGACGCUGAGGUGCGAAAGCGUGGGGAGCAAAC